Paramuricea clavata is the source of this 979-nucleotide non-coding RNA. The record is from the annotation of a GenBank genome assembly. Lineage: Eukaryota; Metazoa; Cnidaria; Anthozoa; Malacalcyonacea; Plexauridae.
AAGGAAAAAUUCUGCCAACAAAAUUCGACUAUAUGCCGUUUGCCGUUCCCGCAAACGUGAGGUCUGUACAGAGAAAUAUCGGACCUCAGUCUUUUUAUACAAACCUCACCCUACACGGUAUAGGGCGAGGUUUGUAUAAAAAUACGGGCUCGGUCUGUAGUCCGAUAUUUCUCUGUACAGAGCCGCGUUCGGUUCAUGAUAAGAAGUUAAUAAUGAUUAUAAUAUAGCAUUUGUAAAUUCUGAACGCUGAUUGGCUAAGGGCCGUGUUGAUAUAACUCAAUGUAACACAAAGUAUAUAGCCUAAAAUCCUGAAUCGAACAUGGCUGAAAAGAAAGGACUUUGAAAAAAAACUUGAAUAGAAAAAUAUCAUGCACUGCUUCAAUACUGAGGGGAAACAGACAGGGAUCGGGCUUUACUUGGACGGUUUUAUCUUUAUGAUCUUAGCAGCACACAUGGAACUGUUUGUUAUAAACACUUAACAAAAGUUAAAUAAAGGCAAAGUUUUAUUAUCAAAGACAUGAAAUGUAUAUUUAUGUAUGUUAUUGAGCUUGUAAGUUGGAAGUUCGUGAUUUCAUGAACGCAAUAUCUCAAAGAAUGGACAAACAGGAAAAAAUGGAGUUAAAAAUAAAGAUUGUGAAAUUGAAAAGGUAUGAAUGAUACAGUAAUUCUAAGCUCUAUACUGUAUGUUAAAAAAUCAAAAAGUUAUUAUAAAGUUGCAAACACAUGGUGCACAAGUUCAGGCUUUCAAAAAAACUGGCAAGUCCAAAGGUGAUAGCAUGCCAGACCUCUCAACUUUGCAGAGAAGUUAAGAGUGAGAUUGGGGAUGUGGAUGAGACCUUUAUAAAAGUCGGGGUCUGAAAUGGCAUUUCGUACAUGAUGAGAGUUGGCCGUUUUUUUAAUGAAAUACAUUGCUUCAUAACGUCCUUUAAGACAAGGAACUUUACUUACAAUAACUGUAUUUCUGCGACAUACACAGUGG